This 292-nucleotide ribosomal RNA is filed under the name uncultured bacterium. RNAcentral describes it as "partial 16S ribosomal RNA". It matches the Rfam family "Bacterial small subunit ribosomal RNA", at positions 505 to 796 of the family's 1533-position model. The record is from RNAcentral.
GUGCCAGCAGCCGCGGUAAUACGAAGGGUGCAAACGUUGCUCGGAAUCAUUGGGCGUAAAGCGCACGUAGGCGGCCUCAAAAGUUGGAUGUGAAAUCCCUCGGCUCAACCGAGGACGUGCAUCCAGAACUGUGGGGCUUGAGUACUGAAGAGGAUCGCGGAAUUCCCGGUGUAGAGGUGAAAUUCGUAGAUAUCGGGAGGAACACCAGUGGCGAAGGCGGCCACCUGGACGGUAACUGACGCUGAGACGCGAAAGCGUGGGGAGCAAACAGGAUUAGAUACCCCGGUAGUCC